This 201-nucleotide long non-coding RNA is filed under the name Trifolium pratense (red clover). RNAcentral describes it as "long non-coding RNA (TPRA_LNC011323)". The record is from RNAcentral. Lineage: Eukaryota; Viridiplantae; Streptophyta; Magnoliopsida; Fabales; Fabaceae.
CAAAUUUUAACGAUGGGACUCUAAUUGUUAACCAAACGAGGAUAUGACCCAAGAAUGCCAAAUAAGGAUGAGGCUCCAAAAAAUUGUCAAAUAAGGAUGAGACUCCAAGAAUGUUAAAUCACAAUGGGAUUCCUUAAAAUCGUCAGAUAAGGAUGGGACUCCGAAAAUGUUAAAUUAGGACUGGACUCCAAAAUUGCCAGA